GGACUUGUAGCGCAGACUGGAUAGCGCGCCUGCCUUCUAAGCAGAGGGUCGUGGGUUCAAAUCCCACCAAGUCCA
This 75-nucleotide transfer RNA is filed under the name Candidatus Woesearchaeota archaeon. RNAcentral's name for it is "tRNA-Arg". It matches the Rfam family "tRNA". From Rfam's summary of the family: Transfer RNA (tRNA) molecules are approximately 80 nucleotides in length. Lineage: Archaea; Nanobdellati; Candidatus Woesearchaeota. The record is from RNAcentral.